Molecule: small nuclear RNA, 111 nt
Organism: Tachyglossus aculeatus (Australian echidna)
Lineage: Eukaryota; Metazoa; Chordata; Mammalia; Monotremata; Tachyglossidae
Source: RefSeq, a predicted model, not a curated record
AUGCUCACUUCGGCAGCACGUAUAGCAAAAUCAGAACAAUACAGAGAAGAUUAGCAUGGCCCCUGUCCGUGCAAGGAUGACAUGCAAAUUCUUGAAGCAUUUCAUAUUUUU